Molecule: ribosomal RNA, 809 nt
Filed under: uncultured bacterium
Lineage: Bacteria
Description: bacterial SSU rRNA
Rfam family: Bacterial small subunit ribosomal RNA
Source: RNAcentral
UAUCGGAUUUACUGGGCGUAAAGCGUGCGUAGGCGGCUUUUUAAGUCGGAUGUGAAAUCCCUGAGCUUAACUUAGGAAUUGCAUUCGAUACUGGGGAGCUAGAGUAUGGGAGAGGAUGGUAGAAUUCCAGGUGUAGCGGUGAAAUGCGUAGAGAUCUGGAGGAAUACCGAUGGCGAAGGCAGCCAUCUGGCCUAAUACUGACGCUGAGGUACGAAAGCAUGGGGAGCAAACAGGAUUAGAUACCCUGGUAGUCCAUGCCGUAAACGAUGUUUACUAGCCGUUGGGGCCUUUGAGGCUUUAGUGGCGCAGCUAACGCGAUAAGUAGACCGCCUGGGGAGUACGGUCGCAAGACUAAAACUCAAAUGAAUUGACGGGGGCCCGCACAAGCGGUGGAGCAUGUGGUUUAAUUCGAUGCAACGCGAAGAACCUUACCUGGCCUUGACAUACUAAGAACUUUCCAGAGAUGGAUUGGUGCCUUCGGGAACUUAGAUACAGGUGCUGCAUGGCUGUCGUCAGCUCGUGUCGUGAGAUGUUGGGUUAAGUCCCGCAACGAGCGCAACCCUUUUCCUUAUUUGCCAGCGGGUAAUGCCGGGAACUUUAAGGAUACUGCCAGUGACAAACUGGAGGAAGGCGGGGACGACGUCAAGUCAUCAUGGCCCUUACGGCCAGGGCUACACACGUGCUACAAUGGUCGGUACAAAGGGUUGCUACCUCGCGAGAGGAUGCUAAUCUCAAAAAGCCGAUCGUAGUCCGGAUCGCAGUCUGCAACUCGACUGCGUGAAGUCGGAAUCGCUAGUAAUCGCGGAUCA